GUGGGGAAUAUUGCACAAUGGGCGCAAGCCUGAUGCAGCAACGCCGCGUGAGGGAUGACGGCCUUCGGGUUGUAAACCUCUUUUAGUAGGGAAGAAGCGUAAGUGACGGUACCUGCAGAAAAAGCACCGGCUAACUACGUGCCAGCAGCCGCGGUAAUACGUAGGGUGCAAGCGUUGUCCGGAAUUAUUGGGCGUAAAGAGCUCGUAGGCGGCUUGUCGCGUCUGCUGUGAAAACCCGAGGCUCAACCUCGGGCUUGCAGUGGGUACGGGCAGGCUAGAGUGCGGUAGGGGAGAUUGGAAUUCCUGGUGUAGCGGUGGAAUGCGCAGAUAUCAGGAGGAACACCGAUGGCGAAGGCAGAUCUCUGGGCCGUAACUGACGCUGAGGAGCGAAAGCAUGGGGAGCGAACAGGAUUAGAAACCCCAGUAGUCC
Molecule: ribosomal RNA, 430 nt
Filed under: uncultured bacterium
Lineage: Bacteria
Description: bacterial SSU rRNA
Rfam family: Bacterial small subunit ribosomal RNA
Source: RNAcentral